Phrynosoma platyrhinos (Desert horned lizard) is the source of this 74-nucleotide non-coding RNA. Lineage: Eukaryota; Metazoa; Chordata; Lepidosauria; Squamata; Phrynosomatidae. The record is from the annotation of a GenBank genome assembly.
GCCAGAAUGGUGUAGUGGUUUGAUUAUGUUGGAUUAUGACUCUGGAGAUCAGGGUUCACUUCCCCGCUCAGCCA